RNAcentral lists this ribosomal RNA (301 nucleotides) under uncultured bacterium. RNAcentral's name for it is "partial 16S ribosomal RNA". It matches the Rfam family "Bacterial small subunit ribosomal RNA", at positions 509 to 807 of the family's 1533-position model. The record is from RNAcentral.
CAGUCGCCACGGUAAUACGAAGGGGGCUAGCGUUGCUCGGAAUUAUUGGGCGUAAAGGGCUCGCAGGCGGUUUCUUAAGUCUGAUGUGAAAGCCCCCGGCUCAACCGGGGAGGGUCAUUGGAAACUGGGAAACUUGAGUGCAGAAGAGGAGAGUGGAAUUCCACGUGUAGCGGUGAAAUGCGUAGAGAUGUGGAGGAACACCAGUGGCGAAGGCGACUCUCUGGUCUGUAACUGACGCUGAGGAGCGAAAGCGUGGGGAGCGAACAGGAUUAGAUACCCCUGUAGUCCCUGUCUCUUAUAC